This is a non-coding RNA of Neolamprologus brichardi, 373 nucleotides long. NCBI's taxonomy places the organism in Eukaryota, Metazoa, Chordata, Actinopteri, Cichliformes, Cichlidae. The record is from RefSeq and is a predicted model, not a curated record.
CACGUGGCUACCGGCGGAAAAUAACGGAGGGAAUCAUGACGAUUUGCUAGUCCAGUACUACUCUGCAGCCCCAGAGAGGCCGUGGGAUCCAUCUGCUUGAGUCCAGCUGCAGAGCUGCGCACACAUUGGAAGUCCAUGGAUUAAAAGGAGAUCAGUUACACCAAACAGGGUUAACAAAUGGCAGAUGUUGUGAAAUUCAUUAUCCACUGUCACAACAGAGGGGCUAAAGGGACCCGGAGACCAUUUCCACAUGAAAGCUGCUUCCCAACAGAACCAUGGGAAACCGCUUCCCGCCCUGCAGACGGGAUGGAACUGGCAUAUUUUGGUCUCUGCACAUAUACACAACAAAAAUACAAACAGGCAUACAAAUGCA